AACGAACGCUGGCGGCAGGCUUAACCCAUGCAAGUCGAACGCCCCGCAAGGGGAGUGGCAGACGGGUGAGUAACGCGUGGGAAUCUACCCAUCUCUGCGGAAUAGCUCCGGGAAACUGGAAUUAAUACCGCAUACGCCCUACGGGGGGAAGAUUUAUCGGGGAUGGAUGAGCCGGCGUGGGAUUAGCUAGUUGGUGGGGUAAAGGCCUACCAAGGCGACGAUCCAUAGCUGGGCUGAGAGGAUGAUCAGCCACAUUGGGACUGAGACACGGCCCAAACUCCUACGGGAGGCAGCAGUGGGGAAUAUUGGACAAUGGGCGCAAGCCUGAUCCAGCCAUGCCGCGUGAGUGAUGAAGGCCUUAGGGUUGUAAAGCUCUUUCACCGGUGAAGAUAAUGACGGUAACCGGAGAAGAAGCCCCGGCUAACUUCGUGCCAGCCGCCGCAGUAA
RNAcentral lists this ribosomal RNA (447 nucleotides) under uncultured bacterium. RNAcentral's name for it is "partial 16S ribosomal RNA". It matches the Rfam family "Bacterial small subunit ribosomal RNA", at positions 29 to 523 of the family's 1533-position model. The record is from RNAcentral.